RNAcentral lists this ribosomal RNA (139 nucleotides) under uncultured Actinomycetes bacterium. Its description in RNAcentral is "uncultured actinobacterium partial 16S ribosomal RNA". It matches the Rfam family "Bacterial small subunit ribosomal RNA", at positions 335 to 486 of the family's 1533-position model. Lineage: Bacteria; Bacillati; Actinomycetota; Actinomycetes. The record is from RNAcentral.
ACUCCUACGGGAGGCAGCAGUGGGGAAUAUUGCACAAUGGGCGCAAGCCUGAUGCAGCGACGCCGCGUGAGGGAUGACGGCCUUCGGGUUGUAAACCUCUGUUAGCAGGGAAGAAGAGAGAUUGACGGUACCUGCAAAG